Molecule: ribosomal RNA, 253 nt
Filed under: uncultured bacterium
Lineage: Bacteria
Description: partial 16S ribosomal RNA
Rfam family: Bacterial small subunit ribosomal RNA
Source: RNAcentral
UACGGAGGGUGCAAGCGUUAUCCGGAUUCACUGGGUUUAAAGGGUGCGUAGGUGGAUCGGUAAGUCCGUGGUGAAAUCCCCGAGCUUAACUCGGGAACUGCCGUGGAUACUAUCGAUCUUGAAUACUGUGGAGGUAAGCGGAAUAUGUCAUGUAGCGGUGAAAUGCUUAGAUAUGACAUAGAACACCGAUAGCGAAGGCAGCUUGCUGCACAGUUAUUGACACUGAGGCACGAAAGCGUGGGGAGCAAACAGG